This 185-nucleotide ribosomal RNA is filed under the name uncultured bacterium. Its description in RNAcentral is "partial 16S ribosomal RNA". It matches the Rfam family "Bacterial small subunit ribosomal RNA", at positions 1316 to 1500 of the family's 1533-position model. The record is from RNAcentral.
CUACAUGAAGCCGGAAUCGCUAGUAAUCGCAGAUCAGCAUGCUGCGGUGAAUACGUUCCCGGGUCUUGUACACACCGCCCGUCACACCAUGGGAGCCGGGAAUGCCCGAAGUCGGUGACCCAACCGUAAGGAGGGAGCCGCCGAAGGCAGGCCUGGUAACUGGGGUGAAGUCGUAACAAGGUAUC